AAGCGAGGCAAAGCCGCGAGGCAGAGCGAAUCGCUAAAAGACCGUCCCAGUUCGGAUUGCAGGCUGCAACCCGCCUGCAUGAAGUUGGAAUCGCUAGUAAUCGCGGAUCAGCAUGCCGCGGUGAAUACGUUCCCGGGCCUUGUACACACCGCCCGUCACACCAUGAGAGUCGGGAACACCCGAAGUCCGUAGCCUGACCGCAGGGGGGCGCGGCCGAAGGUGGGUUCGAUAAUUGGGGUGAAGUCGUAACAAGGUAUC
Molecule: ribosomal RNA, 258 nt
Filed under: uncultured bacterium
Lineage: Bacteria
Description: partial 16S ribosomal RNA
Rfam family: Bacterial small subunit ribosomal RNA
Source: RNAcentral